GGAUGUGGCUCAGUGGUAGAGAACUUGCCUAGUAGAUGUGAGGCACUGGGUUCAAUCCCCAGCACCA
Molecule: transfer RNA, 67 nt
Filed under: Marmota monax (woodchuck)
Lineage: Eukaryota; Metazoa; Chordata; Mammalia; Rodentia; Sciuridae
Description: tRNA.Thr
Source: RNAcentral